GCUUUUGGCAAGGUGCCUUCCGAGUUCCCUGGAACGGGACGCCAUAGAGGGUGAGAGCCCCGUCUGGUCGGACACCGAGCCUCUGUAAAGCUCCUUCGACGAGUCGAGUAGUUUGGGAAUGCUGCUCAAAAUGGGAGGUAUAUGUCUUCUAAAGCUAAAUACCGGCCAGAGACCGAUAGCGCACAAGUAGAGUGAUCGAAAGAUGAAAAGCACUUUGAAAAGAGAGUUAAAUAGCACGUGAAAUUGUUGAAAGGGAAGCGUUUAUGACCAGACUUGGCCCGGUUGAUCAUCCAGCCUUCUGGCUGGUGCACUCUGCCGGUCCAGGCCAGCAUCAGUUCGUCGCGGGGGAUAAAGGUUUCGGGAAUGUAUCUCCUCCGGGAGUGUUAUAGCCCGUUGCGUAAUACCCUGCGGUGGACUGAGGUCCGCGCUCUGCAAGGAUGCUGGCGUAAUGGUCAUCAACGACCCGUCUUGAAACACGGACCAAGGAGUCGUCUUCGUAUGCGAGUGUUCGGGUGUAAAACCCCUACGCGUAAUGAAAGUGAACGCA
This 547-nucleotide ribosomal RNA is filed under the name soil fungal sp. DM2-185. RNAcentral's name for it is "eukaryotic LSU rRNA". It matches the Rfam family "Eukaryotic large subunit ribosomal RNA", at positions 161 to 733 of the family's 3401-position model. Lineage: Eukaryota; Fungi. The record is from RNAcentral.